AUCUGUACUUUACUAUUUAUAUUUUUUGACAACUUUUAUUUUUACCUCGGUACAUUCCAAAAGAAAAUAAUGUACUUUUUAUUCUCAUAUAUUUCCCCCUGACAUCCAAAAGUACUCGUUACAUUUAGCAUUCUCAAGCAGGACAGCAGUAUGGUCCCAUUCACACACUUAUCAAGAGCAGGUGUUGUCAUCCCUACUGCCUCUGAUCUGGAGGACUCACUAAACAGAGAACAUCCCUGGUCAUCCCUACUGCCUCUGAUCUGGAGGACUCACUAAACAGAGAACAUCCCUGGUCAUCUCUACUGCCUCUGAUCUGGAGGACUCACUAAACAGAGAACAUCCCUGGUCAUCCCUCCUGCCUCUGAUCUGGAGGACUCACUAAACAGAGAACAUCCCUGGUCAUCCCUACUGCCUCUGAUCUGGAGGACUCACUAAACAGAGAACAUCCCUGGUCAUCCCUACUGCCUCUGAUCUGGAGGACUCACUAAACAGAGAACAUCCCUGGUCAUCCCUACUGCCUCUGAUCUGGAGGACUCACUAAACAGAGAACAUCCCUGGUCAUCCCUACUGCCUCUGAUCUGGAGGACUCACUAAACAGAGAACAUCCCUGGUCAUCCCUACUGCCUCUGAUCUGGAGGACUCACUAAAAACACACACAGUGCGUUUGUAAAUCUCUUCUGAUUGUUGGAGUGUGUUGGGGUGUGUUGGGGGGUGCCCCUGGCUAUCCGUAAAUUUAAAAAAACUUAAGAGAAAAUCAUACCGUCAGGAAUUUGAUUUAUAUUCUGUACUUUACUUAGUACUUUUUCCCACCAUUGUACUUAAAGUACAUUUUAAAAACAGAUACUUUUACUCAAGUAGUAUUUUACUGGGUCAUUUUCACUUAUACUCAAGUCAUUUUCUAUUACGGUAUCUUUCCUUUGACUCAAAUGGAACAUUUCAGUGGUUGUUUCUGCUAUAAACACACUAUUAUGUUUUCUGAUUUAAAAACAAAAAUAAACAAAGAAAAUUCAUAUUAAUGUUAUAAAUGUUUUUGUAUAAUUGUAUUACAUUGACAUUUUAUCCAUAAAGAUAUGCAAACAAUUGAACUAUUUAAAUAUUAAGAUACUAUUUAAACAGAUUCGACCGCACAUUAUGAUUAUUUGCGAAGACCCCCUUUGUUUUGUGUCAGAAUAAUCCUGUAGGUCUGUGCUGUGUCAUUUUCCUCAUGCUGUAGGUCUGUGCUGUGUCGUGAGUCGCUGUUUCCAUCUGUAGGUUUUUACCCCAUUGACAUCCAUUAAUUUCUUUAAGUGGUGUGUAUAGGAUCAUUGUAUAGGACAAGAAGGGAGUAUGAUAUUCCUGACACGUGUACUCUGAAUGAGUGGUUUUUUUGGAACAAGUGUGUGGAGCUGUUUUCAAGUGUCAUGUACUACAGGAUUGUCUUUUUCUUUUAGGCCUAUGUUAUCUUUACAAAUUAAAAGUCCGUAGUUAAAUGUACUUAAAUGUUUAAUAACUCUCUCUACCAUGAUGAUGUGAGAAAAGCCAAACGAAACACUAUAUCAAUGAAUCUGAUUAUUACAUUGUGCGUGGCUCGUUAUUGUCUCGCAGUGAGACCUGGCUCAGCCAUGUUCUUUGUGUUAGAACGUGCAUGUUGGGUGAUGGGUACUGUGUCUUCUAUGGUUGUAUGGUUGUCUAAGGCUGUGCUAACUGUCUGUGGCUAGUUCAUCUGUUCACAUACAAACCAGUGGCAGUACAGGAGCAAAUUGUUAUCCAGUAGAGCUGAAGUCUGUACGGUCAUCACCAGGCCCUAACCAAGGUAGAGAGGGGGUCUGAACUCAUGCUGAAGGCUCUACGGUCAUCACCAGGCCCUAACCAAGGUAGAGAGGGGGUCUGAACCCAUGCUGAAGUCUUUACGGUCAUCACCAGGCCCUAACCAAGGUAGAGAGAGGGUCUGAACCCAUGCUGAAGUCUGUACGGUCAUCACCAGGCCCUAACCAAGGUAGAGAGAGGGUCUGAACCCAUGCUGAAGUCUGUACGGUCAUCACCAGGCCCUAACCAAGGUAGAGAGAGGGUCUGAACCCAUGCUGAAGUCUGUACGGUCAUCACCAGGCCCUAACCAAGGUAGAGAGAGGGUCUGAACCCAUGCUGAAGUCUGUACGGUCAUCACCAGGCCCUAACCAAGGUAGAGAGAGGGUCUGAACCCAUGCUGAAGGCUGUACGGUCACCACCAGGCCCUAACCAAGGUAGAGAGGGGGUCUGAACCCAUGCUGAAGGCUUUACGGUCACCACCAGGCCCUAACCAAGGUAGAGAGGGGGUCUGAACCCAUGCUGAAGGCUUUACGGUCACCACCAGGCCCUAACCAAGGUAGAGAGGGGGUCUGAACCCAUGCUGAAGGCUUUACGGUCACCACCAGGCCCUAACCAAGGUAGAGAGGGGGUCUGAACCCAUGCUGAAGGCUUUACGGUCACCACCAGGCCCUAACCAAGGUAGAGAGGGGGUCUGAACCCAUGCUGAAGGCUUUACGGUCACCACCAGGCCCUAACCAAGGUAGAGAGAGGGUCUGAACCCAUGCUGAAGGCUUUACGGUCAUCACCAGGCCCUAACCAAGGUAGAGAGAGGGUCUGAACCCAUGCUGAAGGCUGUACGGUCACCACCAGGCCCUAACCAAGGUAGAGAGGGGGUCUGAACCCAUGCUGAAGGCUUUACGGUCACCACCAGGCCCUAACCAAGGUAGAGAGGGGGUCUGAACCCAUGCUGAAGGCUUUACGGUCACCACCAGGCCCUAACCAAGGUAGAGAGAGGGUCUGAACCCAUGCUGAAGGCUUUACGGUCAUCACCAGGCCCUAACCAAGGUAGAGAGGGGGUCUGAACCCAUGCUGAAGGCUCUACGGUCAUCACCAGGCCCUAAUCAACGUAGAGAGGGGGUCUGAACUCAUGCUGAAGUCUGUACCGUUUGCACCAGGCCCUAACCAAGGUAGAGAGGGGGUCUGAACCCUUGCUGAAGGCUCUACGGUCAUCACCAGGCCCUAACCAAAGUAGAGAGGGGGUCUGAACCCAUGCUGAAGGCUUUACGGUCAUCACCAGGCCCUAACCAACGUAGAGAGGGGGUCUGAACCCAUGCUGAAGGCUCUACGGUCAUCACCAGGCCCUAACCAAAGUAGAGAGGGGGUCUGAACCCAUGCUGAAGGCUUUACGGUCAUCACC
Long non-coding RNA from Oncorhynchus keta (chum salmon), 3181 nucleotides. RefSeq lists it as uncharacterized. The transcript is spliced from 4 exons. NCBI's taxonomy places the organism in Eukaryota, Metazoa, Chordata, Actinopteri, Salmoniformes, Salmonidae. The record is from RefSeq and is a predicted model, not a curated record.